CUUGUACUCCCUCCGUCCGAAAAUACUUGUCAUUGAAAUGGAUGUAUCUAGAUGUAUUUUAGUUCUAGACACAUCCAUUUUGAUGACAAGUAAUUCCGGACGGAGGGAGUACUUA
Molecule: non-coding RNA, 115 nt
Organism: Triticum aestivum (bread wheat)
Lineage: Eukaryota; Viridiplantae; Streptophyta; Magnoliopsida; Poales; Poaceae
Source: Rfam